RNAcentral lists this ribosomal RNA (522 nucleotides) under Triticum aestivum (bread wheat). RNAcentral describes it as "partial small subunit ribosomal RNA". The record is from RNAcentral. Lineage: Eukaryota; Viridiplantae; Streptophyta; Magnoliopsida; Poales; Poaceae.
AUGUCGGACAGCGAAGAGCACCAGUUCGAGUCGAAGGCAGACGCCGGCGCUUCCAAGACCUACCCGCAGCAGGCCGGCACCAUUCGCAAGAACGGCUACAUCGUCAUCAAGAACCGCCCCUGCAAGGUGAUACUGGAUGUUCCCUUGAAAUGUCUACCUUGUAGGGUUGUGGAGGUUUCAACAUCUAAAACCGGGAAGCAUGGUCAUGCUAAGUGCCACUUUGUUGCUAUUGAUAUCUUCACCGGCAAGAAACUUGAAGAUAUUGUGCCAUCUUCUCACAACUGUGAUGUUCCUCAUGUGAAUCGCACAGAAUACCAGCUCAUUGAUAUAUCUGAGGAUGGAUUUGUGAGUCUGCUGACUGAUAAUGGUAACACCAAAGAUGACCUCAAGCUCCCAACUGAUGAAACCCUCCUUGGCCAGAUCAAGGAUGGGUUUGCUGAAGGGAAGGACCUGGUGGUGUCUGUCAUGUCCGCCAUGGGAGAGGAGCAGAUUAAUGCGCUCAAGGACAUCGGCCACAAGUAA